RNAcentral lists this ribosomal RNA (397 nucleotides) under uncultured bacterium. RNAcentral describes it as "partial 16S ribosomal RNA". It matches the Rfam family "Bacterial small subunit ribosomal RNA", at positions 523 to 918 of the family's 1533-position model. The record is from RNAcentral.
AUACGUAGGGGGCGAGCGUUGUCCGGAAUGAUUGGGCGUAAAGGGCGCGUAGGCGGCCCGGUAAGUCUGGAGUGAAAGUCCUGUUUUUAAGAUGGGAAUUGCUUUGGAUACUGUCGGGCUUGAGUGCAGGAGAGGUAAGUGGAAUUCCCAGUGUAGCGGAGAAAUGCGUAGAGAUUGGGAGGAACACCAGUGGCGAAGGCGACUUACUGGACUGUAACUGACGCUGAGGCGCGAAAGUGUGGGGAGCAAACAGGAUUAGAUACCCUGGUAGUCCACACUGUAAACGAUGAAUGCUAGGUGUAGGGGGUAUCGACCCCUUCUGUGCCGCAGUCAACACAAUAAGCAUUCCGCCUGGGGAGUACGGCCGCAAGGUUGAAACUCAAAGGAAUGGACGGGG